GACGAAGGGGGCUAGCGUUGUUCGGAAUUACUGGGCGUAAAGCGCGUGUAGGCGGUUGCCAUAGUCAGGUGUGAAAGCCUUGAGCUCAACUCAAGAAAUGCACUUGAUACUGGGCGACUAGAGGACCGGAGAGGAUAGUGGAAUUCCCAGUGUAGUGGUGAAAUACGUAGAGAUUGGGAAGAACACCAGUGGCGAAGGCGGCUAUCUGGACGGUUUCUGACGCUGAGGAGCGAAAGUGUGGGGAGCGAACAGG
This 253-nucleotide ribosomal RNA is filed under the name uncultured bacterium. Its description in RNAcentral is "partial 16S ribosomal RNA". It matches the Rfam family "Bacterial small subunit ribosomal RNA", at positions 524 to 776 of the family's 1533-position model. The record is from RNAcentral.